This 253-nucleotide ribosomal RNA is filed under the name uncultured bacterium. RNAcentral describes it as "partial 16S ribosomal RNA". It matches the Rfam family "Bacterial small subunit ribosomal RNA", at positions 524 to 776 of the family's 1533-position model. The record is from RNAcentral.
UACAGAGGUCCCGAGCGUUGUUCGGAUUUAUUGGGCGUAAAGGGCUCGUAGGCGGUCUGUCACGUCGAAAGUGAAAACUCAGGGCUUAACCCUGAGCCUGCUUCCGAUACGGGCAGACUAGAGGUAUGCAGGGGAGAACGGAAUUCCUGGUGUAGCGGUGAAAUGCGCAGAUAUCAGGAGGAACACCGGUGGCGAAGGCGGUUCUCUGGGCAUUACCUGACGCUGAGGAGCGAAAGUGUGGGGAGCGAACAGG